Nosema bombycis CQ1 is the source of this 73-nucleotide transfer RNA. It matches the Rfam family "tRNA". From Rfam's summary of the family: Transfer RNA (tRNA) molecules are approximately 80 nucleotides in length. Their secondary structure includes four short double-helical elements and three loops (D, anti-codon, and T loops). The record is from Rfam. NCBI's taxonomy places the organism in Eukaryota, Fungi, Microsporidia, Nosematidae.
GCUUUCAUAGUGUAGUGGUUAUCACGCAUCCUUUACACGGAUGAGGUCUCCGGUUCGAACCCGGAUGAAAGCA